UUGGGCGUAAGAGCUCGUAGGCGGUCUGUCGCGUCGGCUGUGAAAACCCGGAGCUCAACUCCGGGCCUGCAGUCGAUACGGGCAGACUGGAGUUCGGCAGGGGAGACUGGAAUUCCUGGUGUAGCGGUGAAAUGCGCAGAUAUCAGGAGGAACACCGGUGGCGAAGGCGGGUCUCUGGGCCGAUACUGACGCUGAGGAGCGAAAGCGUGGGGAGCGAACAGGAUUAGAUACCCUGGUAGUCCACGCCGUAAACGUUGGGCGCUAGGUGUGGGGGCCAUUCCACGGUUUCCGUGCCGCAGCUAACGCAUUAAGCGCCCCGCCUGGGGAGUACGGCCGCAAGGCUAAAACUCAAAGGAAUUGACGGGGGCCCGCACAAGCGGCGGAGCAUGUUGCUUAAUUCGAUGCAACGCGAAGAACCUUACCUAGGCUUGACAUGCACGGAAAUCUCGCAGAGAUGCGGGGUCCGUAAGGGCCGUGCACAGGUGGUGCAUGGUUGUCGUCAGCUCGUGUCGUGAGAUGUUGGGUUAAGUCCCGCAACGAGCGCAACCCUCGUUCCAUGUUGCCAGCACGUGAUGGUGGGGACUCAUGGGAGACUGCCGGGGUCAACUCGGAGGAAGGUGGGGAUGACGUC
RNAcentral lists this ribosomal RNA (631 nucleotides) under uncultured bacterium. RNAcentral describes it as "bacterial SSU rRNA". It matches the Rfam family "Bacterial small subunit ribosomal RNA", at positions 554 to 1186 of the family's 1533-position model. The record is from RNAcentral.